Molecule: ribosomal RNA, 825 nt
Filed under: uncultured Bacillus sp.
Lineage: Bacteria; Bacillati; Bacillota; Bacilli; Caryophanales; Bacillaceae
Description: bacterial SSU rRNA
Rfam family: Bacterial small subunit ribosomal RNA
Source: RNAcentral
UGGACGAAGUCUGACGGAGCACGCCGCGUGAGUGAUGAAGGUUUUCGGAUCGUAAAACUCUGUUGUUAGGGAAGAACAAGUACCGUUCGAAUAGGGCGGUACCUUGACGGUACCUAACCAGAAAGCCACGGCUAACUACGUGCCAGCAGCCGCGGUAAUACGUAGGUGGCAAGCGUUGUCCGGAAUUAUUGGGCGUAAAGCGCGCGCAGGUGGUUUCUUAAGUCUGAUGUGAAAGCCCACGGCUCAACCGUGGAGGGUCAUUGGAAACUGGGGAACUUGAGUGCAGAAAAGGAAAGUGGAAUUCCAAGUGUAGCGGUGAAAUGCGUAAAUAUUUGGAGGAACACCAGUGGCGAAGGCGACUUUCUGGUCUGUAACUGACACUGAGGCGCGAAAGCGUGGGGAGCAAACAGGAUUAAAUACCCUGGUAGUCCACGCCGUAAACGAUGAGUGCUAAGUGUUAGGGGGUUUCCGCCCCUUAGUGCUGCAGCUAACGCAUUAAGCACUCCGCCUGGGGAGUACGGUCGCAAGACUGAAACUCAAAGGAAUUGACGGGGGCCCGCACAAGCGGUGGAGCAUGUGGUUUAAUUCGAAGCAACGCGAAGAACCUUACCAGGUCUUGACAUCCUCUGACAACCCUAGAGAUAGGGCUUUCCCCUUCGGGGGACAGAGUGACAGGUGGUGCAUGGUUGUCGUCAGCUCGUGUCGUGAGAUGUUGGGUUAAGUCCCGCAACGAGCGCAACCCUUGAUCUUAGUUGCCAGCAUUCAGUUGGGCACUCUAAGAUGACUGCCGGUGACAAACCGGAGGAAGGUGGGGAUGACGUCAAA